GAUGAACGCUGGCGGCGUGCCUAAUACAUGCAAGUCGAGCGAACAGACGAGGAGCUUGCUCCUCUGACGUUAGCGGCGGACGGGUGAGUAACACGUGGAUAACCUACCUAUAAGACUGGGAUAACUUCGGGAAACCGGAGCUAAUACCGGAUAAUAUAUUGAACCGCAUGGUUCAAUAGUGAAAGACGGUUUUGCUGUCACUUAUAGAUGGAUCCGCGCCGCAUUAGCUAGUUGGUAAGGUAACGGCUUACUAAGGCAACGAUGCGUAGCCGACCUGAGAGGGUGAUCGGCCACACUGGAACUGAGACACGGUCCAGACUCCUACGGGAGGCAGCAGGAGGGAAUCUUCCGCAAUGGGCGAAAGCCUGACGGAGCAACGCCGCGGGAGGGAUGAAGGUCUUCGGAUCGUAAAACUCUGUUAUUAGGGAAGAACAAAUGUGUAAGUAACUAUGCACGUCUUGACGGUACCUAAUCAGAAAGCCACGGCUAACUACGUGC
This 498-nucleotide ribosomal RNA is filed under the name uncultured bacterium. Its description in RNAcentral is "partial 16S ribosomal RNA". It matches the Rfam family "Bacterial small subunit ribosomal RNA", at positions 28 to 508 of the family's 1533-position model. The record is from RNAcentral.